AUGUUUCCUUCCCUACAAGUGUGAGGACAUAAUCCUACAUGGGUCCAGGAAGAAAGUAUUGGAUGUUCACUGCCAUUCCGAGGGGAAGCAGAGGGUGACAAGCUGAGAGAAAGGAAAUAAACGACCUUCCUGCUUAGGGAGGUUCAAACUAGAACCAUAAACAAAGUCCAGCCUCAGGAGUUCCACAGUCACCACCAGGCCAGUGGUAUUCCAGAGAACCCUCCCCAAUAGACUUCCUACAAUACAAUCUCCAAUUCAGAACCUGUUUCCUGGAGUCUUUAAAGAUCUGUAGUGGAUAG
This 299-nucleotide long non-coding RNA is filed under the name Castor canadensis (American beaver). Its description in RNAcentral is "lncRNA (ENSCCNG00000024317.1)". The record is from RNAcentral. Lineage: Eukaryota; Metazoa; Chordata; Mammalia; Rodentia; Castoridae.